RNAcentral lists this ribosomal RNA (308 nucleotides) under uncultured bacterium. Its description in RNAcentral is "partial 16S ribosomal RNA". It matches the Rfam family "Bacterial small subunit ribosomal RNA", at positions 505 to 808 of the family's 1533-position model. The record is from RNAcentral.
GAGACAGCAGUAGCCACGGGAAUACGGAGGGAGCUAGCGUUGUUCGGAAUUACUGGGCGUAAAGCGCACGUAGGCGGCUUUGUAAGUCAGAGGUGAAAGCCUGGAGCUCAACUCCAGAACUGCCUUUGAGACUGCAUCGCUUGAAUCAGGAGAGGUGAGUGGAAUUCCGAGUGUAGAGGUGAAAUUCGUAGAUAUUCGGAAGAGCACCAGUGGCGAAGGCGGCUCACUGGACUGGUAUUGACGCUGAGGUGCGAAAGCGUGGGGAGCAAACAGGAUUAGAUACCCGGGUAGUCCCUGUCUCUUAUACC